UUGAGAUGAAAGGAAAUCUGCUCCAUUAAUUAAUCUGACCUAUUUCAGUAGAUGGAAGUUCAAGUUAGAAAUUAUGAUCAAAAAGGGAGGAAAAUCCUGUAGUUUGAAGAAAGAGCAUUUUAAAAAUACUGCAGACAGGCACUUGUAAUCUUUAAGCUAAUGUUAGCUUCAGGAUCGUCUUUGAAAAUUUGCAGGGGUUUUGGGGGUGGAAAGAUGCACAGGGUUUCCAGGUUCAAACUAAGAAGGCUUGAACUUUCUUCCCAAGAAGGAAGAUAGUGUGAAUGUAUCCUCCUGCGCUGUAAUCCUCCUGGGUAAGCGUGCUCUUUGUCACUUGGUGGAGCAGACUGUGUUACCAUGAUGUCUAAUCCUUAUCAACGUGAUCAUCGAGUGUUAACAGCUGAUGCAAUGACUAUGGAAACAGUGUCCCUAAAAGCUGUGAUUGACCCCUUUUCUGUCUUCCUCAUCCAGAGGCAGUCUUCCUGGCAGUGGUGAGCAACCUGCUGCUGUCCAAACUGAAAGCAGUGGUCUCCUGACUGGAGCAGAGCUGCUUUACUGCUGUUGGGCAGAAUGUUACACGUGGGGAAAAGAUGAGAGAGGAAGCUACACUCAGGAAUAAGCUCAGCUUAUAUGAAGGAGCCAAGGGCGAAUCACUUCUGGAGCAAAGGAUUGAAGGAUCAGAUCAUAAAUUCAGGCUGACUGAGUGUUUGCUGAAGUUCUUUACCAGAAGGUCUUAAUAUCCUUCCUGACAGACUGUGGUGGUUUCUGUACACGCUGUUCAUCACACUGCAGUUUGGGACCCAUAAAGCUGCUACCCAAAGCUCACUUGGAACUCUUGCAGAGUUGUUUUCAGCACAGCUGGACUGGAGGCACUGUUCAGAGGGGCUGAGCAGUGUUAGGUCCCUGUUUCAGUCCAUACUAUUCCCUACCUUUUGUUCGGGGGUUGUUACUGCUGACUGAUCUUGCAGGAUUGUGCAAAUAAAAGUGAAAAUAAAAUUGUUUGCA
RNAcentral lists this long non-coding RNA (1002 nucleotides) under Cyanistes caeruleus (blue tit). RNAcentral's name for it is "lncRNA (ENSCCEG00000019723.1)". The record is from RNAcentral. Lineage: Eukaryota; Metazoa; Chordata; Aves; Passeriformes; Paridae.